CCUACGGGGGGCUGCAGUGGGGAAUAUUGGACAAUGGGCGAAAGCCUGAUCCAGCCAUGCCGCGUGUGUGAAGAAGGCCUUCGGGUUGUAAAGCACUUUCAGUGGGGAAGAAAGCCUUGGGGCUAAUACCCUCGAGGUAGGACAUCACCCACAGAAGAAGCACCGGCUAACUCCGUGCCAGCAGCCGCGGUAAUACGGAGGGUGCGAGCGUUAAUCGGAAUUACUGGGCGUAAAGCGCGCGUAGGCGGUCUGAUAAGCCGGUUGUGAAAGCCCCGGGCUCAACCUGGGAACGGCAUCCGGAACUGUCAGGCUAGAGUGCAGGAGAGGAAGGUAGAAGUCCCGGUGUAGCGGUGAAAUGCGUAGAGAUCGGGAGGAAUACCAGUGGCGAAGGCGGCCUUCUGGACUGACACUGACGCUGAGGUGCGAAAGCGUGGGUAGCAAACAGGAUUAGAUACCCUAGUAGUC
RNAcentral lists this ribosomal RNA (465 nucleotides) under Vreelandella stevensii. Its description in RNAcentral is "partial 16S ribosomal RNA". It matches the Rfam family "Bacterial small subunit ribosomal RNA", at positions 338 to 795 of the family's 1533-position model. The record is from RNAcentral. Lineage: Bacteria; Pseudomonadati; Pseudomonadota; Gammaproteobacteria; Oceanospirillales; Halomonadaceae.